CGCGUAACACGUAAGAAACCUGCCUCGAAGCUGGGGACAACGGCCCGAAAGGGCCGCUAAUACCGAAUGUGGACGAUUGACCGCAUGGUCAGUCGUUUAAAGCCUUGUGCACUUCGAGAUGGUCUUGCGGCCUAUCAGGUUGAUGGUGGGGUAACGGCCUACCAUGCCGACGACGGGUAGCUGGUCUGAGAGGAUGGUCAGCCGGAUUGGGACUGAGAUACGGCCCAG
RNAcentral lists this ribosomal RNA (228 nucleotides) under uncultured bacterium. Its description in RNAcentral is "partial 16S ribosomal RNA". It matches the Rfam family "Bacterial small subunit ribosomal RNA", at positions 107 to 334 of the family's 1533-position model. The record is from RNAcentral.